Molecule: ribosomal RNA, 279 nt
Filed under: uncultured bacterium
Lineage: Bacteria
Description: partial 16S ribosomal RNA
Rfam family: Bacterial small subunit ribosomal RNA
Source: RNAcentral
UGCCAGCAGCCGCGGUAAUACGGAGGAUCCAAGCGUUAUCCGGAUUUAUUGGGUUUAAAGGGUCCGCAGGCGGAAAAAUAAGUCAGUGGUGAAAUCCUACAGCUUAACUGUAGAACUGCCAUUGAUACUGUUUUUCUUGAGUACACCUGAAGUGGGCGGAAUGUGUCAUGUAGCGGUGAAAUGCUUAGAUAUGACACAGAACACCGAUUGCGAAGGCAGCUCACUAAAGUGUCACUGACGCUGAGGGACGAAAGCGUGGGUAGCGAACAGGAUUAGAUA